GCAGGUCUAGUUUAGUUUCUUUAUCUAAAAAAGUACAUAAAAUUUCAUGUUUUUUUAAGGAUAAAGGAACUAGCAGUUUCUUAGAAAUUAGUAGGUUUUUAGGAACUAGUAGUCCCUUAGAAACUAGUAGUCCCUUAGAAAUUGGGAAUUCUUUAGGAAUUAAUAAUCUCGUGGUCUUAGAAGACUCUAAAGAUAAGAGAAUAGUUGGUAAAUUGUUUAUCCUAGAAAACACCAAAGAUAAAUCAAUUUUUAAUUAUAAACUAGUAGUUCAGAUCUCUAGGAUAAUAAAUCAUUAUCUUAGAUCGAUC
RNAcentral lists this long non-coding RNA (308 nucleotides) under Elaeis guineensis (African oil palm). Its description in RNAcentral is "long non-coding RNA (EGUI_LNC057433)". Lineage: Eukaryota; Viridiplantae; Streptophyta; Magnoliopsida; Arecales; Arecaceae. The record is from RNAcentral.